Molecule: ribosomal RNA, 454 nt
Filed under: uncultured bacterium
Lineage: Bacteria
Description: bacterial SSU rRNA
Rfam family: Bacterial small subunit ribosomal RNA
Source: RNAcentral
GAUGAACGCUGGCGGCGUGCCUAACACAUGCAAGUCGAACGGAGCACUUCGGUGCUUAGUGGCGAACGGGUGAGUAACGCGUGAGAAACCUGCCUUUCAGUGGGGGACAACAGUGGGAAACUACUGCUAAUACCGCAUAAUGUUAUUUGGGGGCAUCCCCGAAUAACCAAAGAUUUAUUGCUGAAAGAUGGUCUCGCGUCUGAUUAGCUAGUUGGUGAGGUAACGGCUCACCAAGGCGACGAUCAGUAGCCGGUCUGAGAGGAUGAACGGCCACAUUGGGACUGAGAUACGGCCCAGACUCCUACGGGAGGCAGCAGUGGGGAAUAUUGGGCAAUGGGCGAAAGCCUGACCCAGCAACGCCGCGUGAAGGAAGAAGGCCUUCGGGUUGUAAACUUCUUUUACCAGGGACGAACAAAUGACGGUACCUGGAGAAAAAGCAACGGCUAACUACGUG